RNAcentral lists this ribosomal RNA (640 nucleotides) under Bacillus sp. E33. RNAcentral describes it as "bacterial SSU rRNA". It matches the Rfam family "Bacterial small subunit ribosomal RNA", at positions 28 to 653 of the family's 1533-position model. The record is from RNAcentral. Lineage: Bacteria; Bacillati; Bacillota; Bacilli; Caryophanales; Bacillaceae.
GACGAACGCUGGCGGCGUGCCUAAUACAUGCAAGUCGAGCGAACAGAAGGGAGCUUGCUCCCGGAUGUUAGCGGCGGACGGGUGAGUAACACGUGGGUAACCUGCCUGUAAGACUGGGAUAACUCCGGGAAACCGGAGCUAAUACCGGAUAGUUCCUUGAACCGCAUGGUUCAAGGAUGAAAGACGGUUUCGGCUGUCACUUACAGAUGGACCCGCGGCGCAUUAGCUAGUUGGUGGGGUAAUGGCUCACCAAGGCGACGAUGCGUAGCCGACCUGAGAGGGUGAUCGGCCACACUGGGACUGAGACACGGCCCAGACUCCUACGGGAGGCAGCAGUAGGGAAUCUUCCGCAAUGGACGAAAGUCUGACGGAGCAACGCCGCGUGAGUGAUGAAGGUUUUCGGAUCGUAAAGCUCUGUUGUUAGGGAAGAACAAGUGCGAGAGUAACUGCUCGCACCUUGACGGUACCUAACCAGAAAGCCACGGCUAACUACGUGCCAGCAGCCGCGGUAAUACGUAGGUGGCAAGCGUUGUCCGGAAUUAUUGGGCGUAAAGGGCUCGCAGGCGGUUUCUUAAGUCUGAUGUGAAAGCCCCCGGCUCAACCGGGGAGGGUCAUUGGAAACUGGAACUGAUGCAGAGAG